AGUCCUCAUCUUGUAUAGAAGAUGUUCUCGUGAUUUAGCUUUAUUUGUUGUCUCAAAUCGUGCUAAAUCUUUGAUUCCCGAGCGUUUUUCUUUUUCCCUAUUUUCGGAACUAUUUUUGGGGAUUUUUCGUUCAUCAUGUUUGAGCCCGAAUCUCGUGAGAUUGGUUGAAGGGAAAUGUUGCUAGGACCUUGGAGAGCAUUCGUGAUAUGAUCCCCUUUCAAAUCCCUCACGAAUCCGGCUUGAUUUUGAGUUUUUCCCAAAUCGCGUUCUUGAGUUAGGGUUUCGGUUUUCUCCAAAAUCCGUGAUGGAUACUUGAGCUUUUUCAGAUCUUUUUCAUGGAUCUAUUCGCACUUGUGGUUGCGCAUCUAUAGCUCAAGUUUUGUCUCGAUUCAUGAAAUUUUGAGGGAGUUUUUUUAGUUUGAAGAUUGAGUGGUGUUCUUGGAGUUCUUGUUUUUCCUCUGUCUGUUCGUGCGCAGGAACAGGGAAGCGAGGCAGCGAGCGAGCCAGAGCAGCACGUGCACGCGGGCCAGCUACAGCAGGCCCAGCAAGGCGGCCCAGCAGGUAGACAGGUGCAGCAGUGCACUAGGCCCAGCUUCGCCAGGUAGCAGCCCAGGACGCGAAGCAGGCCAGGUAGCAGCCCAGGACGCGAAGCAGGCCAGCUAGCAGGCCAUCUGGGCAUUCGAGCAAAGCAGACCUGCAGGCCCAUGCACGAAGGAAGGCAGGCCAACGCAUGCACCAGACCUACAGACAUGCGCCAAGCAUUAGGCACGCCAAGGAGCGAGCCUCCGGGCAUGGCGCCAGGGAAUGCAGCCAGAGGCUUCAGCUUCAUUGUAGGAGAGGGGAGGAGGUUAGGUACGUGCCAACCGCUGCUGGAUCGCCAAUAAUUCGCCAUUGCCGGUCCUACCGGCAACCACCAGGACCAAACCCAAUCCACAAUGACUGGGAUAACAUAAUGGCUGGAUAUUUCCAAUUAAAAUCUAUGCACCUCAGCAUGGCCCCACAAGGCAGGAAAAAGGUUCCUUGCUUAUCCAGCGGUACUACCUUUUUGUGUUUACAUGGUGCUAUCAGAUACUACUAUUAGUGCUAAUCCUGAUCUGAAAUGUGACUUA
Setaria italica (foxtail millet) is the source of this 1109-nucleotide long non-coding RNA. RefSeq lists it as uncharacterized. The record is from RefSeq and is a predicted model, not a curated record. Lineage: Eukaryota; Viridiplantae; Streptophyta; Magnoliopsida; Poales; Poaceae. The transcript has 2 exons.